CACGUGGGUGAUCUGCCCUGCACUUCGGGAUAAGCCUGGGAAACUGGGUCUAAUACCGGAUAUGACCUCCUAUCGCAUGGUGGGUGGUGGAAAGAUUUAUCGGUGCAGGAUGGGCCCGCGGCCUAUCAGCUUGUUGGUGGGGUAAUGGCCUACCAAGGCGACGACGGGUAGCCGGCCUGAGAGGGUGACCGGCCACACUGGGACUGAGACACGGCCCAGACUCCUACGGGAGGCAGCAGUGGGGAAUAUUGCACAAUGGGCGAAAGCCUGAUGCAGCGACGCCGCGUGAGGGAUGACGGCCUUCGGGUUGUAAACCUCUUUCAGCAGGGACGAAGCGCAAGUGACGGUACCUGCAGAAGAAGCACCGGCUAACUACGUG
This 379-nucleotide ribosomal RNA is filed under the name uncultured Actinobacteridae bacterium. RNAcentral describes it as "bacterial SSU rRNA". It matches the Rfam family "Bacterial small subunit ribosomal RNA", at positions 114 to 507 of the family's 1533-position model. The record is from RNAcentral. Lineage: Bacteria; Bacillati; Actinomycetota; Actinomycetes.